ACUAUUUGGACACGGCCAAUUUACCUGGCUCCAGGGCUGGCUCAUUCAGUGCUCAGCAAGCCAUGCUGCUCUGCAAGAGAUGCUUGCAGCCUUCCCUUCUGCCCAGUAGAUAUACCCCAUGGGCCCCUCGGGGCUGCUGGGGGGCACUGACAGCUGCUGUGGAGGGGGAUCUGAGAAGCAGUGUGUGCUGCACUAUAUUUGCACCUGUCCAUGCAGAAAGGCUGUUUCUCAUCUGAGAUCUACACUGUGGCCCCUAACUUUAUACUCCCCACUCUCUUUAGUCUUUGCAGAUGAUUUCAAGCAACUUGCUUUUCCACUGUCUAAUAAGCAAUUUAAAUGCUAAAGGGCAGCUCCUCUACUGAAGGCAACUGAAGCCAAGAGAGCUGUGACAGUUUAUGCCAACUGAAGAUUUGCCUUUAAGUAAAUGUUUUAAACUUUUCACUAAGGAGACUAAAAUAAGCCAUAGCAUGAAACGUUAAGAGUAAAGAAUGAACUCUGGAGACCAGAGGGAUUUGGGAAAUGAAAUGAGAUCCAUCUUACUGGCACAUUUCCCCCUCCGUCUAUUUUUGGAAUUUAAAAAAUUCCCCCAGAUUUGUCUUCUACAGACCAGCUUUUUGUUCACAGACCAGCACUGAGCAGCCUCCUCUUUCACACAGGGCAGCUAUGCAACUUGCAACCAGAUAUGAGAUGAACAGGAAGAUUUGUAGUUGGUGAGCAAGUUGUGAUCAACCCAACUCCUCUGCAGAAUGCUGUGAUGCUCACCAUGACUGGGCAUACUGAUACGCUUUGUGAAAACUAAACUAGGAACACCUGCAGAGCCCCCUGGUGAGCCCCAGUGGAGGGGCUCUGAACUGAAGAGGAACACAUCUAAUGAUGCCCUGAAGUUUAGUCUGAGUAUCUCCAAAUGGAGCAUAGCUGGAAAAACAAAUCAUCUGGGGAAUGCAUUGUCUGGUUGCACAGGCCACAGCUCCAAACAGGAUGUAGUGAAGCUGGUAAGAGAUUUACUCUGAAGUGAGAGAUUUGAUCCGUACAGUGUUAAAUCUAGGUCCAGUUUGGGGUAGUGCAUUUUAAGGAAGAUAAGAGACUAACUGGAGUGUGUGCAAAGAGAAUGAAGUGAACGAUAAAAAUGUUUUGAAAACAUGACCUGCAAUGAUAGGUGGAAGGAAGUGAGUUUGUUUAGUCUAGAAGAGAGAAGAAUGGGGGGAACACGAUAAUGGUUUUCCAAUAUUUGCAAAGAGGACAGCAACUGUUCUCCACAAUUUGGGAAGGGCAAGAAGAUAUCAGUUCAAUUUAUAGUAACAAAGUUUAAGGCAGGACUGUAGGAAAAGCCACAUAAAUACAAAACCCUCAGAUGAGCUACCUAGAAGAAUGGGAAAUGUACAUCAUGGGAAGCUUUUAGGAAAUGGACUGUAACAAUUCAUAUGCAAACCCAGGUAUUUUACAAAUCAAACAGUGGUGUUUGCAGAUGCAGUGAUACCAGACUGAGCUGAGUGUGGGCAGACUGUUGUUUACACAAAGCAGUUUUAGAGGUCACCCAUGUGUGACAGCACUGAAUAUAAGUUGAAUCAUUCAGAACGAAAUCAACGUAACUGGUGCAGAGGUAGAGAGCAGCAUUAAUGUCGCCAAAAUUGCUUUCAGACCUCAUCUCUGUAGCAUAAUGCAUUCCUUUAAAAUUACUGAUGACAAAGGAAAUUAGAAAGAAAGGUGACUGUUGUACUGACCUUAACAGCAGAGUCCUACAGCACCUGGAAGGCUUUCAAAUCUGGCAGAGCACACUACAAAUAACCCACUCCAUUGUCUGACUCAGGUAAUGCAGCUUUAGGAGAUGCACGUUUCUCUUUAUCUCUGUCUGCUCUCUCCCUCAUCUUCUGUGCCCAAAGAGUAAAAAUAGCAACUUUAUAUGUAUUUUUACACUCCUAAUCACUGGCUCAAGUCACUGUUCUCACAGCUUUGUCUCCUUGCAGCAUGGGAAACUGAUCCAGCUGUGCUACAGGAUGGAGCAGGUUCAAGUGUGUCAGCUCCUGGUCUGAAUGUGGGAACAGCAGAAACACGCUGUGUAGGUGGCUUACACUGUGUAGCCAGUGAACGUGCCUGCAGAUACAUGGGCAAUACCAGCAACAAAGGCUACUUCCUUACCAGCCCACGCACAAAUCUGUUCCACGCUCCGCAUGGGAAGAGGCAGCAGCAUCGCGGAUGAGCGAAGGCUGCAGGGUGCUGAUAUUUGGGUGAAAAUCCACACCCCACUGUGUUAUUCAUCCCUCACCAGUCCUCCAAAAUCUCCUCCCCCAGGAUAGUUUUUUGGACAGCAUCGGGAUAAAUUCUGCUGGAGGAUGGCAGAACAGGCCAAGGAGUGAGUCAAAAAUACCCACUCGUUUGAGGGAAUGAAGUAGUGUGGAAGGACUGGGUGCUAUUAAGUUGAAAGCUGUUUGUGUAGCACGGCUGCCUAACAAACAACCCUUUCAAAAUCUCUGAAUAAGAAUAAUGAUAUUUACUCCAAUCUUGUAGACACAGCCUUGCUCUCUUCCCAAAGCGAGGGCAAGGUCUAUGCACAGCCAGCUUCUCUGUGGGAAAGGAGAUCUGUUCAGCGCCAACGUGAACGUUGCCA
Long non-coding RNA from Gallus gallus (chicken), 2605 nucleotides. RefSeq lists it as uncharacterized. NCBI's taxonomy places the organism in Eukaryota, Metazoa, Chordata, Aves, Galliformes, Phasianidae. The record is from RefSeq and is a predicted model, not a curated record. The transcript has 3 exons.